This 1228-nucleotide ribosomal RNA is filed under the name uncultured Halomonas sp. Its description in RNAcentral is "bacterial SSU rRNA". It matches the Rfam family "Bacterial small subunit ribosomal RNA", at positions 168 to 1397 of the family's 1533-position model. Lineage: Bacteria; Pseudomonadati; Pseudomonadota; Gammaproteobacteria; Oceanospirillales; Halomonadaceae. The record is from RNAcentral.
ACCGCAUACGUCCUACGGGAGAAAGGGGGCUUCGGCUCCCGCUAUUGGAUGAGCCUAUGUCGGAUUAGCUAGUUGGUGAGGUAAUGGCUCACCAAGGCAACGAUCCGUAGCUGGUCUGAGAGGAUGAUCAGCCACAUCGGGACUGAGACACGGCCCGAACUCCUACGGGAGGCAGCAGUGGGGAAUAUUGGACAAUGGGGGCAACCCUGAUCCAGCCAUGCCGCGUGUGUGAAGAAGGCCCUCGGGUUGUAAAGCACUUUCAGCGAGGAAGAACGCCUAUCGGUUAAUACCCGGUAGGAAAGACAUCACUCGCAGAAGAAGCACCGGCUAACUCCGUGCCAGCAGCCGCGGUAAUACGGAGGGUGCAAGCGUUAAUCGGAAUUACUGGGCGUAAAGCGCGCGUAGGUGGCUUGAUAAGCCGGUUGUGAAAGCCCCGGGCUCAACCUGGGAACGGCAUCCGGAACUGUCAGGCUAGAGUGCAGGAGAGGAAGGUAGAAUUCCCGGUGUAGCGGUGAAAUGCGUAGAGAUCGGGAGGAAUACCAGUGGCGAAGGCGGCCUUCUGGACUGACACUGACACUGAGGUGCGAAAGCGUGGGUAGCAAACAGGAUUAGAUACCCUGGUAGUCCACGCCGUAAACGAUGUCGACCAGCCGUUGGGUGCCUAGAGCACUUUGUGGCGAAGUUAACGCGAUAAGUCGACCGCCUGGGGAGUACGGCCGCAAGGUUAAAACUCAAAUGAAUUGACGGGGGCCCGCACAAGCGGUGGAGCAUGUGGUUUAAUUCGAUGCAACGCGAAGAACCUUACCUACCCUUGACAUCUACAGAAGCCGGAAGAGAUUCUGGUGUGCCUUCGGGAACUGUAAGACAGGUGCUGCAUGGCUGUCGUCAGCUCGUGUUGUGAAAUGUUGGGUUAAGUCCCGUAACGAACGCAACCCUUGUCCUUAUUUGCCAGCACGUAAUGGUGGGAACUCUAAGGAGACUGCCGGUGACAAACCGGAGGAAGGUGGGGACGACGUCAAGUCAUCAUGGCCCUUACGGGUAGGGCUACACACGUGCUACAAUGGCCGGUACAAAGGGCUGCGAGCUCGCGAGAGUCAGCGAAUCCCUUAAAGCCGGUCUCAGUCCGGAUCGGAGUCUGCAACUCGACUCCGUGAAGUCGGAAUCGCUAGUAAUCGUGAAUCAGAAUGUCACGGUGAAUACGUUCCCGGGCCUUGUACACACCGCCCGU